GACACGCUGGCGGCGUGGAUUAGGCAUGCAAGUCGAACGGUAGGAUCCUUUCGGGGAUCUGAGAGUGGCGAACGGGUGAGUAACACGUAGGUGAUCUACCCUCAAGACGGGGACAACCCAGGGAAACUUGGGCUAAUACCGGAUGUGAGCUAUCGCGAGAUAGUUUGAAAGGUGGCUUCGGCUGCCGCUUGAGGAUGAGCCUGCGUCCUAUUAGCUAGUUGGUGAGGUAACGGCUCACCGAGGCAGUGAUAGGUAGGCGGCCUUAACGGGUGGUCGCCCACACUGGGAUUGAGAUACGGCCCAGACUCCUACGGGAGGCAGCAGUCGAGAAUAGUCUACAAUGGUCGAAAGACUGAUAGUGCGACGCCGCGUGAACGAAGAAGCCCUUCGGGGUGUAAAGUUCUUUUAUAUGUGAGCAGUGACACCCAUAUUAAUAGUAUGGGUGUAGAGAUAUUAGCAUAUGAAUAAGCAACGGCUAACUCCGUG
RNAcentral lists this ribosomal RNA (486 nucleotides) under uncultured bacterium. Its description in RNAcentral is "bacterial SSU rRNA". It matches the Rfam family "Bacterial small subunit ribosomal RNA", at positions 33 to 507 of the family's 1533-position model. The record is from RNAcentral.